This 1143-nucleotide unclassified non-coding RNA is filed under the name Hevea brasiliensis (rubber tree). Lineage: Eukaryota; Viridiplantae; Streptophyta; Magnoliopsida; Malpighiales; Euphorbiaceae. The record is from RNAcentral.
AUCUUAUACACCCUAUUACACAGCCUGUAUUAGCUAAUAAAGGCUUUAAGAGAUCUAUCUCAACGAAGACUCUAGCAAACUUACCUCUAGUUGCCAGUGAGGUGUUCUCAUCAACCUUGAUAACCUUGCCCACUCUACUUCCCAGUUUAAGAGGAACUUAUCAUUAUAAUAUUCCAUCGGAAGUCCAGGAAAACGGACUUAGGCUAUAACUUUGCUGAUAGAGGCCUUUCCUGAUUGAAAAUUAAGGGUCCAUCUUCUCACGCAAUGGUAAUGACCAGCCACCAUCCUAGGUCCACCCAAAAGGGCAAGCUCAAAAUCAGUUUUAUGAGUGAACCUGGCAAUGAAAAAUCAUUAUUAAUGUCUACCAUUUGAACCUUACCUUUUUGCCCAGUUCUUGGUCAUUUGUGAUUCCACAUAGUGGUAAACCACUUUUUUCCCCAAGACUUUGAAAAUAAGAGUAAGGCACCAUGGGUACUAGAGCAUUCGCUUCUCUUCUGCUGAUAAAAGAAUGUUGGGUGGGCACCUUUCAUCAUCCUCUUGAAUCUCAACAUCUGAUGGAGCAUGCCAGUCAUCAUCAUUCCACCCCUCAUUACCACCCUGAAAGUUCGCCUCUAUGGGACUUUUACCUUCCAACGUGUUAUCAGAGGAUUGGACUUUUGCAUUCUCUAUCUUAAUCCCCUUCCUAUUAUCAUCCACAGCCCCGUCAUUCAUAUUGAUUUUCGGUUCCUCUAGAUUUCACCCAGCAGCAUAUCUUUCCAUGAGCGUCGAUUUUUUUUCCAUGGGGACAUGUAGGGCUAGCACUAUCCUCAUCUCUAGGAAGGGAUUGACCUUCAAUCGUGGUCUUAACUUUUUUCUUACUUCUGAUCAGCUGGUCCGCCUCUUCAUUAUACAGACCUUCCAUGUUCUCUUCCACUUCAUUCAGCAUCACAAUUGUGUGAUUUUUUUUCCAAGUCUUUCCUAGCUUUCCAAAAAGGAUUGUUGUAAGUUUUAACUUGAUAGUGGAAUCUGAUUCUAGAGUGGCCCUCUAGUGGGUUCUUUACUCUUUGCAGGUUCUCUGCCCACCAUGUGCUUCCACCAUUUCUUGAAUUAGUCAAAAUACACCUUUUAAAAUUUUGAGAAGCUUAAUUCUGCCCUUUGUUCAAG